UACGAAGGGGGCUAGCGUUGUUCGGAUUUACUGGGCGUAAAGCGCACGUAGGCGGAUCGUUAAGUCGGGGGUGAAAUCCUGGAGCUCAACUCCAGAACUGCCUUCGAUACUGGCGAUCUCGAGUCCGGAAGAGGUGAGUGGAACUGCGAGUGUAGAGGUGAAAUUCGUAGAUAUUCGCAAGAACACCAGUGGCGAAGGCGGCUCACUGGCCCGAUACUGACGCUGAGGCACGAAAGCGUGGGGAGCAAACAGG
This 253-nucleotide ribosomal RNA is filed under the name uncultured bacterium. Its description in RNAcentral is "partial 16S ribosomal RNA". It matches the Rfam family "Bacterial small subunit ribosomal RNA", at positions 524 to 776 of the family's 1533-position model. The record is from RNAcentral.